UCAGGAUGAACGCUGCGGCGUGCUAACACAUGCAAGUCGAGCGAUCACUUCGGUGAAGAGCGGCGGACGGGUGAGUAACGCGUGGGUAACCUGCCGUCAUACACAUGGAUAACAUACCGAAAGGUAUGCUAAUACAGGAUGAUAUAAGAGAUUCGCAUGGAUUUCUAUCAAAGCUCCGGCGGUAUGAGAUGGACCCGCGUCUGAUUAGCUAGUUGGUAAGGUAAUGGCUUACCAAGGCGACGAUCAGUAGCCGACCUGAGAGGGUGAUCGGCCACAUUGGAACUGAGACACGGUCCAAACUCCUACGGGAGGCAGCAGUGGGGAAUAUUGCACAAUGGGCGAAAGCCUGAUGCAAGCAACGCCGCGUGAGUGAUGAAGGCCUUCGGGUCGUAAAACUCUGUCCUCAAGGAAGAUAAUGACGGUACUUGAGGAGGAAGCCCCGGCUAACUACGUGCCAGCAGCAGC
Molecule: ribosomal RNA, 465 nt
Filed under: uncultured bacterium
Lineage: Bacteria
Description: bacterial SSU rRNA
Rfam family: Bacterial small subunit ribosomal RNA
Source: RNAcentral